This 495-nucleotide ribosomal RNA is filed under the name uncultured bacterium. RNAcentral describes it as "bacterial SSU rRNA". It matches the Rfam family "Bacterial small subunit ribosomal RNA", at positions 903 to 1397 of the family's 1533-position model. The record is from RNAcentral.
AAAGGAAUAGACGGGCACCCGCACAAGCGGUGGAGCACGCUGUUUAAUUCGACGAUACGCGAAGAACCUUACCAGGGCUUGACAUCCCUUUGACCGCUCUAGAAAUAGAGUUUUUCCUUCGGGGACAAAGGUGACAGGUGGUGCAUGGUUGUCGUCAGCUCGUGUCGUGAGAUGUUUGGUUAAGUCCAAUAACGAGCGCAACCCUUUUCUUUAGUUGCUAACAUUUAGUUGAGCACUCUAAGGAUACUGCCAGUGAUAAGCUGGAGGAAGGUGGGGAUGACGUCAAAUCAUCAUGCCCCUUACGUCCUGGGCAACAGGCGUGCUACAAUGGCCAAUACAAUGAGAUGCAAUAUCGCGAGAUGGAGCAAAUCUUUGAAAGUUGGUCUAAGUUCGGAUUGAAGUCUGCAACUCGACUUCAUGAAGUCGGAAUCGCUAGUAAUCGCGAAUCAGCACGUCGCGGUGAAUACGUUCUCGGGUGUUGUACACACCGCCCGU